GGCGACGCUCAGCUGAUUCUCUGGUCCAACAGCCGAGCAGCCCUAAUGACGUCAUUACGUGACUCAGGUGUGUUGAAGUAGAAACGUGUCUAAAAGCUGCAGGACUCCAGGUUCCCUUCUGGGACAGAUGGAUAAUAUCAAAGAGUCAAAACCUACCAAAUGUUUUUCAUCUGGUUUCUGGUUGCAGAAGCUGCAAAGCAGCAGCACAGAGGAAGAUUCUCCAGAGAAUCAUUAAAUCUGCCCAGAGGACCAUCUGCUGCUCUCUAGGACUCCACCGGUCCGGUCCGGUCCGGUCCGGUCCGGCUGCCCCAGGACAACCAGGAGCGACUUGUCACAGCUGGACGCCAUCAGCUCCAAAGGAGCGCAUACUGCCAGGAUUUCCAGACUGAGCUGCUCGUCCAGAGAAGAGCUUCUGCUGUGACCUCUCCAUCACCGGCCCGUUCCUCGCUGACCUUUGACACCGACUCUGUGUUUGUGUCUGCAGCCUGAGAGACGGUUGAGUCUGAAACACAGAAGAUCAGCUGAACAGCUCUCCUGUUGUCGCCUGGUUCACACGCUGGCCUCGGCGGCCGGGUUUCUCCGGGUCGGCCGUUUCCUCCUAAAACACGGUGGACUGACCGCCGACCGAAACGCAGCGUCUGAAGAGAAAGUGAUGAAUGAGAGUCGAGUAUUUGAGGAUUUUUCCAGGAAGAAUCUCCCUGCAGACGAAUCUCUGCUCACAUGGCUGGUCGUUAUUCUCAAUUCAAAGACUAUAUAAAGACAAAACAUUUUCAAUUCAGAAAUCCUUUUUGCAUCUAAAUUAUUGAAUAAGUAUCUAAUGGAAUAAUAAUAGAAAUA
Xiphophorus hellerii (green swordtail) is the source of this 837-nucleotide long non-coding RNA. RefSeq lists it as uncharacterized. The transcript has 3 exons. NCBI's taxonomy places the organism in Eukaryota, Metazoa, Chordata, Actinopteri, Cyprinodontiformes, Poeciliidae. The record is from RefSeq and is a predicted model, not a curated record.